GCGAAAUGUUGUAAAAUACGGAAAAUAUAGCCCUGUGGAAUUAGCAAAUUUUGAGUAUUAAAUAUGUAAUACUAAAAUACUCAAAAUUUGCUAAUUCCACAGGACUAUAUUUUCCGUAUUUUACAACAUUUCGC
Paramuricea clavata is the source of this 134-nucleotide non-coding RNA. The record is from the annotation of a GenBank genome assembly. NCBI's taxonomy places the organism in Eukaryota, Metazoa, Cnidaria, Anthozoa, Malacalcyonacea, Plexauridae.